Molecule: ribosomal RNA, 492 nt
Filed under: uncultured bacterium
Lineage: Bacteria
Description: partial 16S ribosomal RNA
Rfam family: Bacterial small subunit ribosomal RNA
Source: RNAcentral
AUUGAACGCUGGCGGCAUGCUUUACACAUGCAAGUCGAACGGUAACAGGCCUUCGGGUGCUGACGAGUGGCGAACGGGGGAGUAAUGCAUCGGAACGCACCCAGAGGUGGGGGAUAACGCAGCGAAAGGUGUGCUAAUACCGCAUGUGAUCUGAUGAUGAAAGCGGGGGACCAGGCAGCAAUGUUUGGCCUCGCGCGUUUGGAUGAGCCGAUGUCAGAUUAGGUAGUUGGUGGGGUAAAGGCCUACCAAGCCGACGAUCUGUAGCUGGUCUGAGAGGACGACCAGCCACACUGGGACUGAGACACGGCCCAGACUCCUACGGGAGGCAGCAGUGGGGAAUUUUGGACAAUGGGCGCAAGCCUGAUCCAGCAAUGCCGCGUGCGGGAAGAAGGCCUUCGGGUUGUAAACCGCUUUUGUACGGAAAGAAAAGGAUCUGGCUAAUACCUGGGGCUGAUGACGGUACCGUAAGAAUAAGCACCGGCUAACUACGUG